Molecule: ribosomal RNA, 546 nt
Filed under: Notophthalmus viridescens (eastern newt)
Lineage: Eukaryota; Metazoa; Chordata; Amphibia; Caudata; Salamandridae
Description: partial 16S ribosomal RNA
Rfam family: Bacterial large subunit ribosomal RNA
Source: RNAcentral
CUUGCAAUAUAAAGUAUAAGAGGUCCCGCCUGCCCAGUGACAAUUUCAACGGCCGCGGUAUCAUGACCGUGCAAAGGUAGCGUAAUCACUUGUCUUUUAAAUAAAGACCUGUAUGAAAGGCAAAACGAAAGUUCAACUGUCUCUUUAAUCCAAUCAAUGAAAUUAAUCUUUCCGUGCAGAAGCGGAAAUAGAAAUAUAAGACGAGAAGACCCUAUGGAGCUUUAAAUAUAAAAUUAACUAUACCAUUAAACUACAAAUCCACGGAUAAAAUAAUAACAUUAGCUAUAAUUUGAAUUUUCGGUUGGGGCGACCACGGAGAAAAAAUAAUCCUCCGAGAUAAUAGUUUAGAAUUACACUUCAAAAAUUAAAACAUUUAUUAUAAAUGAUCCACUAAGUGACCAACGAACCAAGUUACCCUAGGGAUAACAGCGCAAUCCUUUCUAAGAGUCCAUAUCGACGAAUGGGUUUACGACCUCGAUGUUGGAUCAGGACAUCCUAAUGGUGCAGCCGCUAUUAAAGGUUCGUUUGUUCAACGAUUAAAGUCCU